CAGGGAGACAACAAAAUGUUAAAUAUUAAUUUUGUCACCUUAGGUCGAUCGGUAUCUCACAUUCUUAAUUUAUUAAGGAUUUUAUUUCCUAAGUUUUUUCUAGGUCACACCCAUUACUUUUCCUGGGCCAUUAGCUCAGGUGGUUAGAGCGCACCCCUGAUAAGGGUGAGGUCCCUGGUUCAAGUCCAGGAUGGCCCAUAUCUCUAUGUUGGGGGUAUAGCUCAGUUGGUAGAGCGCCUGCUUUGCAAGCAGGAUGUCAGCGGUUCGAGUCCGCUUACCUCCACUGAUUACCACCUCUUCCAUAAUUUUAAGAAGGGAUUGUUUUUGAGGCGUGAUCAAAUUCUGAACGAAUCUAGCUUCUUAAUUAUCUUAAUUAAGAUGCUGGACUCAUUGAAUUAAUUUUCAUUGGUUUCAGAGAACCUUGACAACUGCAUAGAUUUUUUUAAAGACAAUUAGCAUCUUAAAUGAUGCAGAUUUAUUAUUUGUGCGAAUGCAUUAAUAACAAUUCUAUUAAGCUGAUGCUUCAAUUCUUGAAGUUAUU
RNAcentral lists this transfer RNA (541 nucleotides) under uncultured cyanobacterium. Its description in RNAcentral is "partial 16S-23S ribosomal RNA intergenic spacer". The stretch from base 211 to 283 matches the Rfam family "tRNA". Lineage: Bacteria; Bacillati; Cyanobacteriota. The record is from RNAcentral.